AGAGUUUGAUCAUGGCUCAGGAUAAACGCUGGCGGCGUGCCUAACACAUGCAAGUCGAACGAUCCCGCAAGGGAGAGUGGCGGAAGGGUGAGUAACACGUGGGAAUCUACCUCCUCGCAGGGAACAACCUCUCGAAAGAGAGGCUAAUACCCAAAAGGGUCAGAAAUGAUCAGAGUCGAAAGGCGUGAGGAGAGGAGCCCGCGGCCCAUCAGCUAGUUGGUGAGGUAAUGGCUUACCAAGGCUACGACGGGUAGGGGAUCUGAGAGGAUGUCCCCCACACUGGAACUGAAACACGGUCCAGACGCCUACGGGUGGCAGCAGUGAGGAAUAUUGGACAAUGGGCGAAAGCCCGAUCCAGCAACGCCGCGUGGAGGAUGAAGGCCUUCGGGUCGUAAACUUCUUUAGAGGGAGACGAGAAAGGACGGUAUCCCUAGAAUAAGCGACGACAAACUACGUG
RNAcentral lists this ribosomal RNA (457 nucleotides) under uncultured bacterium. RNAcentral's name for it is "bacterial SSU rRNA". It matches the Rfam family "Bacterial small subunit ribosomal RNA", at positions 8 to 507 of the family's 1533-position model. The record is from RNAcentral.